GCGGGUUGCGGACGUGCCUCCGUCAUGGAUUACGUCCGCAACCAGAGGUUCCACUGUAAUUUGGUUCCAGGCACAGGACUGAACAUCCAAAAAGAUCCACUUUCAUUUUAUAAAGAUCUGUUUCAAGCCCAUAGGGUUGGAGGGAGAGUGUAUGGGCAAUGGAAUCUCAGAAUCUUGCAUGGGAAGUUGAACAAGUUAUGCAGUGUUCAGAAGUGGGGCUUCAGUAACCUGCAUAACUCAGUGUUCCUUCUUAUAAGCAGAGAAUAAAUUAUGCAAAAUAUGGAAAUAUAUGCAGAUUUGCAAUUUAUACAGGAGUCAGAAUACAGAUGAAGUGGACUUAAAAAUUUAUUUUCUUAGUGCAGAAUAAUAUAGCUUUGCCCACCACUGUCUUCAGCAAUUCUGACAGUAAGGAAUGCAAGGUUACCCAAUCAUGCUAUUAGAAUAAGUUUAUGGAUUGUAAUAUGUGCACAUGUGUAUAAGGAAUAACUAAAUGAGAACGGCAUCUUCUCUGUUUCCAUUUGCCAUUAAAACCAUUUAGUUCAUGGCGCUUUUGAAUCAACUGAAAAGAAGAGGUAAAUGAUAACGUCAAGUAAGCAAUCCAGAUUGCCUUCGAAAUUUUCAGACAAGAAUAAAUCAAUGCACAAGUGAAAGCCACAACAGGAAACCAUAAUAACCAACUGAAGUUUCAUUUUCCUGUCUACUGCAGUGGGUUAAUAUUGCAGUGCAGAGCUUUUUGCCCCAUUACUCAUUUGUGAGAAAGCAAGAGGUUUCAGACAAAAACUUCCUGUGGAUUAUUACUUAUGAGUCCCCCCAACUUUUUAUUGAAUUUUUGUUGCAUGCAAAACCUCUAUGUUUUUUAACUAUCAUAUUUACUUUCUUAUGUUCUUAAUUUUUAAUGUUCUUAAUUCAAUAGCAUGCAUCAAGUUAUUGGUUUGCUUUUGUUUUAUUAUGUAUUUUGUGUUCUCGUUCUAUAUUUUUAUGUUGUGAACCACCCUGUGAUCUUCAGAUAACAAAUUAAAACUCAGGUAUACAAAUUUAAACAAA
This is a long non-coding RNA of Podarcis raffonei (Aeolian wall lizard), 1044 nucleotides long. RefSeq lists it as uncharacterized. NCBI's taxonomy places the organism in Eukaryota, Metazoa, Chordata, Lepidosauria, Squamata, Lacertidae. The record is from RefSeq and is a predicted model, not a curated record. The transcript has 2 exons.